GUGAGGAAUAUUGCGCAAUGGAGGCAACUCUGACGCAGCCAUGCCGCGUGCAGGAAGAAGGCGCUACGCGUUGUAAACUGCUUUUAACCGGGAAGAAACCCCAGGACGUGUCCUGGGUUGACGGUACCGGAGGAAUAAGCACCGGCUAACUUCGUGCCAGCAGCCGCGGUAAUACGAAGGGUGCAAGCGUUAUCCGGAUUCAUUGGGUUUAAAGGGUGCGUAGGCGGAGCGUUAAGUCAGUGGUGAAAUCCUGCAGCUUAACUGUAGACUUGCCAUUGAUACUGGCGCUCUUGAGUGCGCUUGAAGUGGGCGGAAUGUGUCGUGUAGCGGUGAAAUGCUUAGAUAUGGCACAGAACACCAAUUGCGAAGGCAGCUCACUAAGGCGAUACUGACGCUGAGGCACGAAAGCGUGGGGAUCGAACAGGAUUAGAAACCCUAGUAGUCC
This 445-nucleotide ribosomal RNA is filed under the name uncultured bacterium. Its description in RNAcentral is "bacterial SSU rRNA". It matches the Rfam family "Bacterial small subunit ribosomal RNA", at positions 354 to 796 of the family's 1533-position model. The record is from RNAcentral.